GGUCAGUCGGUGCAGGCGGGCGCGGUAAGAGGGAGGCGGCGGGGUUUGGACGGGGUUAGUGGGCGUGAAGGGCGUGUAGGCGGGCAGGUAGGUCUGGUGUGAAAACUAGAGGCUUAACCUCGAGAUGUCAUCGGAAACCAUUUGGCUAGAGUCCGGAAGAGGAAAGUGGAAUGCCUGGUGUAGCGGUGAAAUGCGCAGAUAUCAGGAAGAACACCAAUGGCGAAAGCAGCUUUCUGGGACGGUACUGACGCUGAGACGCGAAAGCGUGGGGAGCGAACAGGAUUAGAUACCCCGGUAGUC
RNAcentral lists this ribosomal RNA (300 nucleotides) under uncultured Lactobacillus sp. Its description in RNAcentral is "bacterial SSU rRNA". It matches the Rfam family "Bacterial small subunit ribosomal RNA", at positions 496 to 795 of the family's 1533-position model. The record is from RNAcentral. Lineage: Bacteria; Bacillati; Bacillota; Bacilli; Lactobacillales; Lactobacillaceae.